RNAcentral lists this long non-coding RNA (417 nucleotides) under Dromaius novaehollandiae (emu). RNAcentral describes it as "lncRNA (ENSDNVG00000010946.1)". Lineage: Eukaryota; Metazoa; Chordata; Aves; Casuariiformes; Dromaiidae. The record is from RNAcentral.
AGCUUCUGAUCAUUUGUUCAAAUAGCAGCAGUGGUAUGAAACAGCUUUGUCUUGGAGAAACAUGUGGUGCAUUGAUAUGCAAAUAAGUACACCCUGUGCUUCAGCAAGUGCCAAGAAGAGGCCAGAAGUGUGCCAAACAUUUUCAGAAAUGUGGAAAAACAUCAUUCUCUGGACAGAAUACUGAACAGGAUGAAACAGAGAGAUUCCUGGGACUGAUACCAUCCAAUUGAUACAAGAAACGAAGCAAUGGUUGGGGAUUCAUCACAGAGAUAAAUUUACAAUAUCAACGUGAUAGAAGAUCCUUUUGGAAAAAAUCAAAGCAAGUGAAUUGCAGAGGUAAGGAAACAUCCUUUUGCUGACUAGAUUCUUGCAUAAUCUGGUCUUAGUCUCACUUUAGUGGAGUGUCUUUCAAUGUUA